GGCCCUGUGUCUCGACUGCACCCCGCUAGACCCCCACCUCUCCCGCUGCUCCGACGAUUCCUGGAUCUUCUCCAGCCAGGAAGUGUGAACUGGGUGCCCUCAGCUAACUCAGAGUCCACUGAAGAAAAGGACCAGGACCAGGCUGGGCCUCAGGCAGAGAGAACUGGCGAUCUGGAUCAGAGUUGGGGUUUCCUAAAAGUGGCACGAUCGUAACGUAUGCUGCCAAUUUCUCGCCAAGUUGAGCUCUAGAACAGGAGCCUGAACACUCAGAAGGCACAGACCCGACCUCCCUUCCUUUACCUAUGCCAACACCAAGUGCAGAGAUGUCUCCUGGAUUUGGCUGUUGAGGAGGAAGAUCAGUGAAAGACAAGAUGCAGUCCUGUCUGGAAGGCCUACCAGUGCCUACCAGGAGUCCCCUUGAUCUGGAAGCCGCACUCUUCACUUCCCAGAAUGGCUCCUUACCCUCCUUUUAGAGCAAUGCUAGAGCUGUCCGUAAUGUGACCUACUGUUAUCCCUCAAGUAAGGAAAGCUUGCCAUGUAAAACCUGCCGUUUUAGUCUACCAAUGUGACAUGGGAUAAAAAGAAAUAAAAAUAUGUAGCGAGGAGACAAAGGCAAUCCCAAUUUUGAAACUACUUUUGAGAAGACUGAAACUUCAGGACACAAUCAAACUUACCCGGGACUGUCCACAUCUGAACUCCCUA
Molecule: long non-coding RNA, 702 nt
Filed under: Chinchilla lanigera (long-tailed chinchilla)
Lineage: Eukaryota; Metazoa; Chordata; Mammalia; Rodentia; Chinchillidae
Description: lncRNA (ENSCLAG00000027511.1)
Source: RNAcentral